AGAACGUGUUUCUACCAGUUGUUCAAUCCCAGCAGCAAAAAGAUAUGCAAUUGGAACGUUUACCUGAUAACAAUUGUUUCGAUAACUGCGGUAUCACAAGUUAUGCCGAUUUUAGCAAUUAUUGGUUUUUUCGUCAAAGGGCUUGAUUCAUUUGACUACAUUGAAAAUGUUAUCAUUGCUUUCCCCAUACUAGUUCAUAAUCUCGUAUCGUUUAUAUUGAUUCGAAUUUUAAGCAAGAGUAACACGAUUUGGGAUUUGUUUCCCGUUACAAAAUUUAAUUUUUUGACGAGCCCAUUGUGUACUCAGAACAUCGAAACAUUAAAUAAAUACCGAAAGAGAACAAUUUGGAUUACGAAUUUCUUGGUGAAUUUUACCGUCGUCGCGUGCUUUCAAUGGGCGCUCAACCCUUUUGUCCUUAAUUCCAUUGUUCAGAUUGAAACCGCUAAUGGACAAAUGUACAAUGUUUUAAAUUAUCCGUAUCCUGUAAAAACACAUACGUACAAUCAGUAUUAUUUCGUUUUUUACAUAUUGGAAGUAUUUUUAUUGUUUUUGAUGAUUUAUAUUCUACUUGUAUUCGACGGUCUUUUAAUAUCUUUUUAUUUCGCUAUAAUUGGUCAAUACAAUGUAAUUACACGGUCGCUUAAAAAUGUCGGAUGGGAAGACAAAACUCAAAUAGGUAAUAAUAUAAUGUUAUUAUAAAAUGUAGUUAUUUUGUUUUUUCUAUCGGAUUUUGUCACGUCAGUCAUCAUUCUACAUAAUAUACAUCGCCUAUGUACCUACGAUUUUCAUUGAAGUUUCCCAAACCUCCCAGAUUCUCAAGACUGGGUGGUAACGCGUUAAUAGUUUAUGUUAAGUUAAUUGAUGAGUUACUAUUUUAUACGGUUAAAUUUUUAUUUAAAAAGUUCAUUUUUUUAUGUAUUUUACG
Molecule: non-coding RNA, 925 nt
Organism: Cinara cedri
Lineage: Eukaryota; Metazoa; Arthropoda; Insecta; Hemiptera; Aphididae
Source: the annotation of a GenBank genome assembly